This 133-nucleotide ribosomal RNA is filed under the name Symbiodinium sp. BIK IOtsH6. Its description in RNAcentral is "5.8S ribosomal RNA". It matches the Rfam family "5.8S ribosomal RNA", at positions 7 to 139 of the family's 154-position model. From Rfam's summary of the family: 5.8S ribosomal RNA (5.8S rRNA) is a component of the large subunit of the eukaryotic ribosome. It is transcribed by RNA polymerase I as part of the 45S precursor that also contains 18S and 28S rRNA. The record is from RNAcentral. Lineage: Eukaryota; Dinophyceae; Suessiales; Symbiodiniaceae.
CAKCGAUGGAUAUCUUGGCUCGGGCACCUGUGAAGGGCGCAGCGAARCGCGAUAGUCUUUGUGAAUUGCAGAACUCCGUGAACCAAYGGCCUCCCGAACGUGCWUUGCACUCUUGGGAUUUCCUGAGAGUAUG